Molecule: ribosomal RNA, 305 nt
Filed under: uncultured bacterium
Lineage: Bacteria
Description: bacterial SSU rRNA
Rfam family: Bacterial small subunit ribosomal RNA
Source: RNAcentral
GUUCCUACGGGGCGCAGCAGUGAGGAAUAUUGGUCAAUGGACGAAAGUCUGAACCAGCCAAGUAGCGUGAAGGAUGACUGCCCUAUGGGUUGUAAACUGCUUUUGUACGAGGGUAAACCCCGAUACGUGUAUCGGGUUGAAAGUAUCGUACGAAUAAGGAUCGGCUAACUCCGUGCCAGCAGCCGCGGUAAUACGGAGGAUCCGAGCGUUAUCCGGAUUUAUUGGGUUUAAAGGGUGCGUAGGCGGUUUGAUAAGUUAGAGGUGAAAUGUCGGGGCUCAACCCCGAAACUGCCUCUAAUACUGUU